Molecule: ribosomal RNA, 253 nt
Filed under: uncultured bacterium
Lineage: Bacteria
Description: partial 16S ribosomal RNA
Rfam family: Bacterial small subunit ribosomal RNA
Source: RNAcentral
UACAGAGGUCCCAAGCGUUGUUCGGAUUCACUGGGCGUAAAGGGUGCGUAGGCGGCCGGGUAAGUCUGAUGUGAAAUCUCACAGCUUAACUGUGAAACUGCAUUGGAUACUAUCCGGCUCGAGGAAUGGAGGGGAGACUGGAAUACUUGGUGUAGCAGUGAAAUGCGUAGAUAUCAAGUGGAACACCAGUGGCGAAGGCGGCUCUCUGGGCCUUUCCUGACGCUGAGGCGCGAAAGCGUGGGGAGCAAACCGG